GUUCGGUGUGAGCCAAGGCUCCGUGUUGAAGGCCGUACGUUGACCUAUAAUAGUUUACUUUUUGAAAUUGUUAUUUGGAUGGAGAGUUGUCUCAUUGGCACUCACACAACAUCUUCCUAUAUCUAUUAACUCCGCCACAUGUAUGUCUGUGUGUAUGUGCAUGUCCCCAAGUCAGGAGCCUGUAAUUCAGUAGUUGUCGUUUGUUUAUGUGUUACAUGUUUGUUUUUUUGUACAAAAAAUAGGCCGUUAGUUUUCUUGUUCGAAUUAUUUUACAUUGUCAUUACGGGGCAUUUUUAAGCUGACUUUGCGGAACUGGCUUUGCUCAUUAUUGAAGGUCGUACGGUGACCAAUAGUUGUUAAUUUCUGUGUCAUUUGGUCUCUUGUGGAGAAUUAUCUACUUGGCAAUCAUACCAUAUCUCCUUUUUUUUUUGCUCAUUUAAACAACGGAAGGCAUUAUAUUUGUCAUUAUCUGUAUACAUAGCAUUUUUCUAUAAGAAGUUAAUACACGAGUUUCCAGUCCAUUUA
This 525-nucleotide long non-coding RNA is filed under the name Mytilus galloprovincialis (Mediterranean mussel). The record is from RNAcentral. Lineage: Eukaryota; Metazoa; Mollusca; Bivalvia; Mytilida; Mytilidae.